GUUCACUGUAUGCUAGUACGGCGAGUGAGCGGCAACAGCUCAAAUUUGAAAGCUGGCUCCGGCCCGCGUUGUAAUUUGCAGAGGAUGCUUCUGGCGAGGUGCCUUCCGAGUUCCCUGGAACGGGACGCCAUAGAGGGUGAGAGCCCCGUAUGGAUGGACACCAAACCUGUGUGAAGCUCCUUCAACGAGUCGAGUAGUUUGGGAAUGCUGCUCUAAAUGGGAGGUAAAUCUCUUCUAAAGCUAAAUACCGGCCAGAGACCGAUAGCGCACAAGUAGAGUGAUCGAAAGAUGAAAAGCACCUUGAAAAGGGGGUUAAACAGUACGUGAAAUUGUUGAAAGGGAAGCGCUUGUGACCAGACUUGCGCCGGGCAGCUCAUCAGGGGUUCUCCCCUGUGCACUCUGCCCGGCUCAGGCCAGCAUCGGUUCUCGUGGGAGGAUAAGAACGGUAGGAACGUGGCCCCCCUCCGGGGGGGUGUUAUAGCCUGCCGUACGAUACUCCCGUGGGGACCGAGGUUCGCGCUCCGCAAGGAUGCUGGCGUAAUGGUCAUCAGCGACCCGUCUUGAACCCCCGGACCA
RNAcentral lists this ribosomal RNA (576 nucleotides) under Cytospora salicina. Its description in RNAcentral is "partial large subunit ribosomal RNA". It matches the Rfam family "Eukaryotic large subunit ribosomal RNA", at positions 66 to 668 of the family's 3401-position model. Lineage: Eukaryota; Fungi; Ascomycota; Sordariomycetes; Diaporthales; Cytosporaceae. The record is from RNAcentral.